Molecule: ribosomal RNA, 878 nt
Filed under: uncultured Legionella sp.
Lineage: Bacteria; Pseudomonadati; Pseudomonadota; Gammaproteobacteria; Legionellales; Legionellaceae
Description: bacterial SSU rRNA
Rfam family: Bacterial small subunit ribosomal RNA
Source: RNAcentral
CAAGUCGAACGGCAUCACAGUCUAGCUUGCUAGAUGGGUGGCGAGUGGCGAACGGGUGAGUAACGCGUAGGAAUAUGCCUUGAAGAGUGGGACAACUUGGGGAAACUCAAGCUAAUACCGCAUAAUGUCUGAGGACGAAAGCUGGGGACCUUAUGGCCUGGCGCUUUAAGAUUAGCCUGCGUCCGAUUAGCUAGUUGGUGGGGUAAGGGCCUACCAAGGCGACGACCGGUAGCUGGUCUGAGAGGAUGACCAGCCACACUGGAACUGAGACACGGUCCAGACUCCUACGGGAGGCAGCAGUGGGGAAUAUUGGACAAUGGGGGCAACCCUGAUCCAGCAAUGCCGCGUGUGUGAAGAAGGCCUGAGGGUUGUAAAGCACUUUCAGUGGGGAGGAGGUUUUAUAGGUUAAGAGCUAAUAAGAUGGACGUUACCCACAGAAGAAGCACCGGCUAACUCCGUGCCAGCAGCCGCGGUAAUACGGAGGGUGCGAGCGUUAAUCGGAAUUACUGGGCGUAAAGGGUGCGUAGGUGGUUGAUUAAGUUAUCUGUGAAAUUCCUGGGCUUAACCUGGGCAGGUCAGAUGAUACUGGUUGACUCGAGUAUGGGAGAGGGUAGUGGAAUUUCCGGUGUAGCGGUGAAAUGCGUAGAGAUCGGAAGGAACACCAGUGGCGAAGGCGGCUACCUGGCCUAAUACUGACACUGAGGCACGAAAGCGUGGGGAGCAAACAGGAUUAGAUACCCUGGUAGUCCACGCUGUAAACGAUGUCAACUAGCUGUUGGUUAUAUGAAAAUAAUUAGUGGCGCAGCAAACGCGAUAAGUUGACCGCCUGGGGAGUACGGUCGCAAGAUUAAAACUCAAAGGAAUUGACGGGGGCCCGC